Long non-coding RNA from Alexandromys fortis (reed vole), 600 nucleotides. RefSeq lists it as uncharacterized. Lineage: Eukaryota; Metazoa; Chordata; Mammalia; Rodentia; Cricetidae. The transcript is spliced from 4 exons. The record is from RefSeq and is a predicted model, not a curated record.
UGAAGCGAUACUGCGCUCUAGGCAAAGGUUAGAUCACGGCUCUUGAUCUUCUGCUUGGAGAUACUGUGAGUCUUCUGUGUGUGAGAGCAAACCAGUUCAUGACAACAAGAACCCCAGAGGAGAUACGAAUUUCCCAGGUUUGAUGUCUCUGCUGGCACUCUUAAAUUUUUCUGGAGAAGUGGCAAACACGUAGAAAAUCCCCAGAGCCAUGUGCCCACCACCUGGAAUCUUCAUCUCUUAGACAAACCUCCCCACUGCCCACGUCCUGGCUGCCCACCAGCCCUUUCUGGAUGAACUUCAAAGCAAGUCUCAACCCUGGAAGUCCUGAAAGCUUCAAGCUGUGAUGCUGUGGAGGGGACUUGGCAGUUGACCAUCAGAGCCGUCACAUCGGAACAGUAAGCCAAUAGACAAGCAAUGGCAGGAGUGAACAAAUGGGAAGACCCAAAGAAAGCAACUAGAAGACCUCCCAUCCCAAAUAACAAGGAUUGGGAAAGGGGAGAGGGAAGGGCAGCCGCUUCAAGGAGCCAUGCCACCGUCAUCCUUGUGUGUUACUCAAGAAUGCCUAAGCAACAGUUUGGAUGCUCACCUUACUAGACCUGG